UUCUGUUGUAGUUGGAUCUUUUUUUGCUAUCCGAGAAAUGGAAGAAGCUUGUAGAGAAAGCACGGUCCAAGCAACUUUAAUCCCAUGAGUACAACUCAGGCAUCCAGAUAUGAAGAGGCAUGCAGAAAAUUGCUACAUUUUGACCGUGUAGAAAGUGUGCAAUUACUCUCCUGACAGUGGGAUCAAAUCUUUGAUUGUUGUUAACUUCGAAAGCUCAAGCUCUUCAAAGAAGGAUGAUCCCCUAUGUGUUGCUGCUAGACAAGAUGGGAAGAUAUUAGUCUCUAGUCUGUGGGUUGAUCACAGUUUUGAUGUCGGAGCGCCUGUGGAUACAACCUCGGUCACGAUGAUUAUUUAACUCGCAUGAAGAUUGUGAAAGAGAUUCAUAAAAACAAUGAAGUUUUGAGUUU
Molecule: long non-coding RNA, 407 nt
Filed under: Helianthus annuus (common sunflower)
Lineage: Eukaryota; Viridiplantae; Streptophyta; Magnoliopsida; Asterales; Asteraceae
Description: sRNA HanXRQr2_Chr14g0626671
Source: RNAcentral